GUGAAGCGGAUGACCUCGGACGGUCGGCAGACUCAUAAUCUGUUGGUUCCAGGUUCAAGUCCUGGCCGCCCCA
This 73-nucleotide transfer RNA is filed under the name Actinomycetota bacterium. Its description in RNAcentral is "tRNA-Ile". The stretch from base 17 to 73 matches the Rfam family "tRNA". Rfam says of the family: Transfer RNA (tRNA) molecules are approximately 80 nucleotides in length. Their secondary structure includes four short double-helical elements and three loops (D, anti-codon, and T loops). Further hydrogen bonds mediate the characteristic L-shaped molecular structure. tRNAs have two regions of fundamental functional importance: the anti-codon, which is responsible for specific mRNA codon recognition, and the 3' end, to which the tRNAs corresponding amino acid is attached (by aminoacyl-tRNA synthetases). tRNAs cope with the degeneracy of the genetic code in two manners: having more than one tRNA (with a specific anti-codon) for a particular amino acid; and 'wobble' base-pairing, i.e. permitting non-standard base-pairing at the 3rd anti-codon position. Lineage: Bacteria; Bacillati; Actinomycetota. The record is from RNAcentral.